GAUGAACGCUGGCGGCGUGCCUAAUACAUGCAAGUCGAGCGAACAGACGAGGAGCUUGCUCCUCUGACGUUAGCGGCGGACGGGUGAGUAACACGUGGAUAGCCUACCUAUAAGACUGGGAUAACUUCGGGAAACCGGAGCUAAUACCGGAUAAUAUAUUGAACCGCAUGGUUCAAUAGUGAAAGACGGUUUUGCUGUCACUUAUAGAUGUAUCCGCGCCGCAUUAGCUAGUUGGUAAGGUAACGGCUUACCAAGGCAACGAUGCGUAGCCGACCUGAGAGGGUGAUCGGCCACACUGGAACUGAGACACGGUCCAGACUCCUACGGGAGGCAGCAGUAGGGAAUCUUCCGCAAUGGGCGAAAGCUUGACGGAGCAACGCCGCGUGAGUGAUGAAGGUCUUCGGAUCGUAAAACUCUGUUAUUAGGGAAGAACAAAUGUGUAAGUAACUAUGCACGUCUUGACGGUACCUAAUCAGAAAGCCACGGCUAACUACGUG
RNAcentral lists this ribosomal RNA (497 nucleotides) under uncultured bacterium. Its description in RNAcentral is "partial 16S ribosomal RNA". It matches the Rfam family "Bacterial small subunit ribosomal RNA", at positions 28 to 507 of the family's 1533-position model. The record is from RNAcentral.